RNAcentral lists this ribosomal RNA (367 nucleotides) under uncultured archaeon. Its description in RNAcentral is "bacterial SSU rRNA". It matches the Rfam family "Archaeal small subunit ribosomal RNA", at positions 451 to 818 of the family's 1478-position model. The record is from RNAcentral.
ACUGGUGUCAGCCGCCGCGGUAAUACCAGCUCUCCGAGUGGUAGGGACGAUUAUUGGGCCUAAAGCGUUCGUAGCCGGCUUGGCAAGUCUCUCGUUAAAUCCAGUGACCUAAUCGCUGGGCUGCGGGAGAUACUGUCAGGCUUGGGAGCGGAAGAGGUCGACGGUAUUCUCGGGGUAGAGGUGAAAUCCUAUAAUCCCGGGAGGACCACCAGUGGCGAAGGCUGUCGACUAGAACGCGCCCGACGGUGAGGGAUGAAAGCUGGGGUAGCGAACCGGAUUAGAUACCCGGGUAGUCCCAGCUGUAAACGAUGCAGGCUAGGUGUUGGCGCGGCUACGUGCCGCUCCAGUGCCGCAGGGAAGCUGUUAA